Molecule: ribosomal RNA, 253 nt
Filed under: uncultured bacterium
Lineage: Bacteria
Description: partial 16S ribosomal RNA
Rfam family: Bacterial small subunit ribosomal RNA
Source: RNAcentral
CACGUAGGGCGCAAGCGUUGUUCGGAUUCAUUGGGCGUAAAGGGUGCGUAGGCGGCGCCGUAAGUCGGAUGUGAAAUCUUCGGGCUCAACCCGGAAACUGCAUUCGAUACUGCGGUGCUUGAGGACUCGAGAGGAGAUCGGAAUUCACGGUGUAGCAGUGAAAUGCGUAGAUAUCGUGAGGAAGACCAGUGGCGAAGGCGGAUCUCUGGAGAGCUCCUGACGCUGAGGCACGAAGGCCAGGGGAGCAAACGGG